AGUGAACGCUGGCGGUAGGCCUAACACAUGCAAGUCGAACGGCAGCACAGGAAGAUCUUGCUCUUACGGUUAGCGGGUGACGGGCGGGUGAGGAAUACAUCAGAAUCUACGUAUUCGGGGGGGAUAACGUAGGGAGACAGACACUACUACCUCAUACUGGCUACGGGUGGAAGCAUAGUUGCUUCGGACAUUGCGCGCAUUAAUGAGUCGAUGUCGGAUGGACUAGUUGGCGGGGUAAAGGCCGACCAAGGCGACGAUCGGUAGCUGGUCGAAGAGGAUGGCGAGCCACACUGGAACUGAGCACCGCUCAAGACUCUUACGGGAGGCAGCAGUGGGGAAUAUUGGACAAUGGGCGAAAGCCUGCUCAAGACCUACCGCGUGGGUGAAGAAGGCUUUCGGGUGGUAAAGCCCUUUUGUUGUGAAAGAAAAGCAGCAGGUUAAUACCCUGCUGUUCUGACGGUACCCAACGAAUAAGCAACGGCUAACUUCGUG
RNAcentral lists this ribosomal RNA (492 nucleotides) under uncultured bacterium. RNAcentral's name for it is "partial 16S ribosomal RNA". It matches the Rfam family "Bacterial small subunit ribosomal RNA", at positions 29 to 507 of the family's 1533-position model. The record is from RNAcentral.